This 492-nucleotide ribosomal RNA is filed under the name uncultured bacterium. RNAcentral describes it as "partial 16S ribosomal RNA". It matches the Rfam family "Bacterial small subunit ribosomal RNA", at positions 29 to 507 of the family's 1533-position model. The record is from RNAcentral.
AGUGAACGCUGGCGGUAGGCCUAACACAUGCAAGUCGAACGGCAGCACAGUAAGAGCUUGCUCUUACGGGUGGCGGGUGGCGGACGGGUGAGGAAUACAUCGGAAUCUACUUUUUCGUGGGGGAUAACGUAGGGAAACUUACGCUAAUACCGCAUACGACCUACGGGUGAAAGCAGGGGAUCUUCGGACCUUGCGCGAUUGAAUGAGCCGAUGUCGGAUUAGCUAGUUGGCGGGGUAAAGGCCCACCAAGGCGACGAUCCGUAGCUGGUCUGAGAGGAUGAUCAGCCACGCUGGAACUGAGACACGGUCCAGACUCCUACGGGAGGCAGCAGUGGGGAAUAUUGGACAAUGGGCGCAAGCCUGAUCCAGCCAUACCGCGUGGGUGAAGAAGGCCUUCGGGUUGUAAAGCCCUUUUGUUGGGAAAGAAAAGCAGCAGGUUAAUACCCCGCUGUUCUGACGGUACCCAAAGAAUAAGCACCGGCUAACUUCGUG